Molecule: ribosomal RNA, 1560 nt
Filed under: Triticum aestivum (bread wheat)
Lineage: Eukaryota; Viridiplantae; Streptophyta; Magnoliopsida; Poales; Poaceae
Description: partial small subunit ribosomal RNA
Source: RNAcentral
AUGACUGCUUGGGAGACCGGAACCUUGGAGAAACUGGUGAUGUUGACCCUGAUGAAGAAGCUAGGAUGUUUGCUAGACCAGGUUUUGAAGAGCCUUGGUGUUGUUCCGAAUCUGGAUGAAUAUAGGAUCUCACUAAACACAGGUAUCAACCUCGAUCAACGAAGGUACAAUGCGCCAACUACUUCUCAGGUUGCAGCAAUAUGGGUUGAAGGAAGCGACCCACAUAAAACCUUUGAUAGGAGUGUUGUCGUAUAUGGUAAAGGAGACGCUGGUAAAGGAGACCGUCCCCUGUAUAUUAGAGCAUACCAUGGGUGCUACGACCCUUUGUCAUAUCCACUGUUCUUCCCACGUGGGGAGAUCAGUUGGAAUCGUUGGAUGCCAUAUAUUGAGUUAGUCGAUGACACAAACCAAGUUUCAGUGGAUGAAUUUGCACAACAGAACCCAGCCUAUGGUUUUCCUUCAGAUGAUAACGUGAUUAGAGAACAAGUUGGUCAUAAAGCACAGCAUGAAGAGCAACCCACUGAUUUACCUGAAGAUGAUAACAUGAUUAGAGAACAAGUUGGUCAUAACGCACAGCAUGAAGACCCACCCACUGAUUUACUUGAUGGUGACGACGAUGAUAACCCGGAUGAGGAUUUUGGUGAUGAUGAGAUGAAUCCAACAAAAUCAAGGAAAUUUGUUAGCGCGAGAGAGUACUAUUGCUUCAAGCUGUGUGUCCGGAAGAAGCUUUUUAACAUCAUCUUGUUCGGGGGGCGCCUUUUCCAACAGUGGGCUGUUGACAUGUACAUCAAGAUUGAGACAAUGAGGCUUGACUGGUAUUCAAAGCCAGCAAAUCAAAAGGUUAUACGCGCUGACCUGUAUCAGGGUCUUGUUGACACCAUCGUUGCUGGCGAGUCACGCGGUGAUCAGAUUGGCAAGAGAAUCGUGCUUCCACGUACAUUUCCUGGUGGUGACAGUGACAUGCAGCGCAGGUUUCUGGAUGCGAUGGCAAUAGUUCAACAUUGGGGUAAACCGGAUUAUUUUGUCACGAUGACAUGCAAUCCCUACUGGGAGGAGAUAAUGCAGGAAUUGUUGCCUGGACAGCUGCCACAAGACCGCCCAGACCUUGUGGCAAGAGUAUACAGAGCUAAGCAACGAAAUAUGAUGGACUUACUAACUAAGGGUAAGCAUUUCGGAGAAGUCGCAGCUUAUGUACAUGUCACAGAGUUUCAGAAGCGAGGUCUCCCGCAUGAGCAUAUACUUCUAAUCAUGGAAGCAAAAAGCAAGUUAAGGACCUCAGAUGACUAUGAUCGGGUGAUAUCUGCAGAGAUACCCGACAAAAAGAAAUAUCCUGUCCUCCAUGAUCUGGUAGUCAAACACAUGUUGCACGGCCCAUGUGGUGCACUCCAGAAAAGUUGCCCUUGCAUGAUAGAUGGACAAUGUCGAUUUCAUUACCCGCGAGAUUUCUGUGAUGCUACAUUACAAGGGAAAGACUCAUAUCCCAUCUAUAGAAGGAGGGACGACGGGGUUCGAGUAAGGAUCAGAGGAGCAGAUUUGGACAAUAGAUGGGUGGUCCCUUAC